This 253-nucleotide ribosomal RNA is filed under the name uncultured bacterium. RNAcentral's name for it is "partial 16S ribosomal RNA". It matches the Rfam family "Bacterial small subunit ribosomal RNA", at positions 524 to 776 of the family's 1533-position model. The record is from RNAcentral.
UACGUAGGGGGCUAGCGUUGUCCGGAAUCAUUGGGCGUAAAGCGCGUGUAGGCGGCCCGGUAAGUCCGCUGUGAAAGUCGGGGGCUCAACCCUCGGAAGCCGGUGGAUACUGUCGGGCUGGAGUACGGAAGAGGCGAGUGGAAUUCCUGGUGUAGCGGUGAAAUGCGCAGAUAUCAGGAGGAACACCAGCGGCGAAGGCGGCAUCCUGGCCCUGUACUGACGCUGAGGCGCGAUAGCGUGGGGAGCAAACGGG